RNAcentral lists this small RNA (27 nucleotides) under Bombyx mori (domestic silkworm). RNAcentral describes it as "ovarian small RNA-24731". Lineage: Eukaryota; Metazoa; Arthropoda; Insecta; Lepidoptera; Bombycidae. The record is from RNAcentral.
UCAAGCCUUGGAGAUUUCUAAUAAAAC